Long non-coding RNA from Hydra vulgaris (swiftwater hydra), 412 nucleotides. RefSeq lists it as uncharacterized. The record is from RefSeq and is a predicted model, not a curated record. Lineage: Eukaryota; Metazoa; Cnidaria; Hydrozoa; Anthoathecata; Hydridae.
UUGUUGUUUAUUAACAAUAUUUGCAACAUUUUUUUAGGUUAAAAGUUAAACAACGAGAUGUGAUGACAUGGUUGCAUUAAAUGUAUAUGAAUAGGAUCUUAGCAUGUUUUAUGAUGAUGUUGGUCUUAAACUCAGAGAAGAACGUAUUUAAUAUAUUCACAUUCAAGGAAGGGUUUGAAUAUUGUUGGUGAUCGCCUUACGGAAAUUAUCAUGGAAGAAUACAGAAAGUUUGAAAUAUUGAUACUACUGACAAAUUUCUGCCGAUGAAAAAACCACGCCAAUGUGUUCAUUAUCAAAAUUGAAUAAUCAUGACUCCAGCUAUAAUUAUCUAUUUUAUAUCAUAAUUUAUUUGUAUACUUGUUUUCUAUGUAAAAGAUUAAUCCAUAUAAAAAAACUUAAAACUGAAAAUAAA